RNAcentral lists this ribosomal RNA (338 nucleotides) under uncultured bacterium. RNAcentral's name for it is "bacterial SSU rRNA". It matches the Rfam family "Bacterial small subunit ribosomal RNA", at positions 29 to 368 of the family's 1533-position model. The record is from RNAcentral.
AUUGAACGCUGGCGGAAUGCUUUACACAUGCAAGUCGAGCGGCAGCGCGGGGGCAACCCUGGCGGCGAGCGGCGAACGGGUGAGUAACACAUCGGAACGUACCCAGUGGUGGGGGAUAGCCCGGCGAAAGCCGGAUUAAUACCGCAUACGACCUGAGGGGGAAAGUGGGGGACCGCAAGGCCUCACGCCGUUGGAGCGGCCGAUGUUCGAUUAGCUGGUUGGUAGGGUAAAGGCCUACCAAGGCGACGAUCGAUAGCUGGUCUGAGAGGACGACCAGCCACACUGGAACUGAGACACGGUCCAGACUCCUACGGGAGGCAGCAGUGGGGAAGUUUUGU